CUCACUUCAGCCUGAGUAACAAAGCCGAGACUUUGUCUCAAAAAAAGAAAAGAAAGAAUCACUAUAAAAGGAGGUGCUAAACAUGUUGGCUUUCUUACCUGAAUUUUUUCUUUAUUCUUUAGGUAUAUAAGAAAAAAAAAAUUCAUAGGAAUAGUGUGAAGUAACCCUAAUGAUUUGUUCUAAUUUACAUAGUUCACACAACCCAUAGCCUAGAGAAAGUACCAAAGAACAGCUUUGCAGAGGACUAGGGUACUCCUGUGGGAAGAGGAGUCUUUUCUUCUCUGAUGGUUCUCUUGAGUUUACUUUGCUGCUAAAAGUGAGGUGGAUUGAAGGGAAAAUUUUCUUCUUUUUUUCAAGCUUUGCCAGAACACUUAGCUUAACAAACAGCUGUUUCAACUCUUAAUUGUGUCCUCGAAUUUCCAGGGAUGCUUUCUGACCUCUUAUUAGCAGCACAGCUAGGACUGGCUGGCAUGCUUUGUGGUGCCAAACAUAGCUGUAGCCAACCUGGAAUGUGUCCAAGCCGAACAAGAUACUGAAGUCAGAAGGAACAAGUGGUACAAAUUCUCUCUUAGUCAGAGUCUGGAAAGUCAUCAUAUUGAAAUUCAUGCAGGCAGAUCUGACACACUCCUGAAAAUUUUUUUAUGAACUGACAUUUCAGUUCUUCCAGGCCCUGAAUAGUACAUUUCAGUCAACAAGACAUUAAUAUCUCUUUUUAAAUUUGCCAAUAGAAGCCAGCUCUUAGAGUGUAGGGACACUAGUGAUAAACUUAGGGCUCGAUUUGAAUAUUGCAUCAGUGACUUGCAUUAACAUGCUAACCAUAUGAUAUUCAAAAAAUAAUGAAUUUGCAUCUGUAUUGGGAACUGUCAGUUUGACUUCAAGAGUCAGUUUGAGCCUCUGCUUUAAGCAUUCAUAAAUUUUGAGUGUCUGUGCUCUUCGUUAGUACUGUGAUAAUCCAUGUUUUGAGUAAGUAAUGCUGUCUUUAAAGCCAAGGGGUGCAUAUGUUUUGAUUUGUUUUUCUAGUAGUGGUAGGUACAUUUGCAUCAGAGAAUCAACAAGUUUUAAACACCACUGUCUCAUGACCAGUGCCAUCUUUGGGUAGACUGGUCAGCCAGAGACAGGAGCAUUCUUUGACCAGUCCAGUCCAUACCUAUCCACAGUCUUUGUCUCAGACUCUUACAUUCUGACUUACCAGCUGCGCUCAGAAGCAGCAAAGGAAUAAAUUAGAGGUUUUCUCUACAUAAGGUUGAUUAUGUCAUCUUAUGUUUUGCCUUCUUAAAUUUUUAUCUCUUUGGCUCAUGGUCUUGUGGUGUAAAGAAACCUUCAGUUUUGCUAAGAAUUGGGGCUGCUAUUCCUUGUUUCAGCAUAAAAUCAUUUAAAUAAGUUAGCUUUGAUAUAUCCCACUUUGAACUCUUAGGUUAGUGGUUAAGUUGAUAUAAAAUGAGGACAGUCAUAAAUUAAUACAGUUCUGAGAUAUUCUUUUUAUAUAUUAUGUAUAGGUCAGUCAGCAAGCUUUUGAGUUUGUGCCAAAGAGACAGUUUCCGUCUACUAGGAGUUUGAACUGGUAAGGCAGUAUGUCCCUAUGCAACAGUUUGUAAAGGAGGCAGUUAUAUGACGUACAUACUCUAAUUAAACACUGAUUUAAAAGAUUUAUAGUAAGAUAGCAUCAGAUGUAGUGAUAUGUACUGUAAAUUAUUUUGGACUCUAUACUAGGAAAUACUGCAUUAGAGUACAGAGACUUAAAGAUGUUGAGUAACUUGUGUAAAAUCCCACAGCUGUUAAGUGGGAGAAGCAGGCAUUUGAACAUCAUUUUAUCUGGUUGAGAUUUGAACUGUGGCCGAUCAGAAGACAGGCAUUUACCUUAAUGAAAGAGACAGCAGCAUUUUUUUUUUUUUUUU
Non-coding RNA from Microcebus murinus (gray mouse lemur), 1895 nucleotides. The record is from RefSeq and is a predicted model, not a curated record. NCBI's taxonomy places the organism in Eukaryota, Metazoa, Chordata, Mammalia, Primates, Cheirogaleidae.